Non-coding RNA from Hydra vulgaris (swiftwater hydra), 575 nucleotides. The record is from RefSeq and is a predicted model, not a curated record. NCBI's taxonomy places the organism in Eukaryota, Metazoa, Cnidaria, Hydrozoa, Anthoathecata, Hydridae.
AACAACAUAUUGGAUGGAAAAAUGGUUGGGAAGGUAGGUGCCCAUUCUGUUCCUAUCUUUAGAAGUUAUUUAUACCUAUGCAAUACCUUCGCUCAGGUUAAAGAAUGGAAUACUAGUCUUGCAUCAAAUGCAUGUAAAAAUCUAGCUUUUAUAUAUUAACUUGUGAUCAGAGCAACUGGGAUGUUGGUUGGAUAUUUUACAUAUCCAUUUGAUGUUUAUCACCAGAAGUUAGUUCUACCUUGGCAGUACCUCUGCUCUACAUACCUCCUCGCUGGUUAAAGAAUGGAAUAUAAAUCUCAUAUCAAGUUGAUGUAAAAAUUUAGUUCAAUAAAUUAAGAAUUUGUAAACGUUAUCAAAAUUUUGAGUGGAGCAAUUGUUUUUCUGGUUUAGCAUGAGUAUGAAUCUGAUAUCAAUUGGAUGUACAAAGAUAGUUUACUACUUAAAGAACCUAUCAGUGAACCAACUGAUUAUAAAACAGUUUUUAAUGGGAAUAAAAACAAAUUUUCAAAAGAUUUCAAUUAGCUAUUUGUAUAUUCAAACACUUUAUUUACUGAGAGAAGAGACUAUAGAUUCAA